This 496-nucleotide ribosomal RNA is filed under the name uncultured bacterium. Its description in RNAcentral is "bacterial SSU rRNA". It matches the Rfam family "Bacterial small subunit ribosomal RNA", at positions 29 to 518 of the family's 1533-position model. The record is from RNAcentral.
AUGAACGCUAGCGACAGGCUAACACAUGCAAGUCGAGGGGUAACAGGGUAGCAAUACCGCUGACGACCGGCGCACGGGUGAGUAACGCGUAUGCAACCUGCCUAUAACUGGGGAAUAGCUCCCUGAAAGGGGAAUUAACACCGCAUAACACUAUUGAUUCGCAUGGAUUAGUAGUUAAAUGUAGCGAUACAGGUUAUAGAUGGGCACGCGUGACAUUAGCUAGUUGGUGAGGUAACGGCUCACCAAGGCUACGAUGUCUAGGGGUUCUGAGAGGAAGGUCCCCCCACACUGGUACUGAGACACGGACCAGACUCCUACGGGAGGCAGCAGUGAGGAAUAUUGGUCAAUGGGCGCAAGCCUGAACCAGCCAUGUCGCGUGCAGGAAGACUGCCCUAUGGGUUGUAAACUGCUUUUAUAGUAGAAGAAACACAUCUACGUGUAGAUGUCUGCCAGUAUACUAUGAAUAAGCAUCGGCUAACUCCGUGCCAGCAGCCGC